AAAUAAAUUCAUUUUAUCACACAUUAAAAAAAAAAACAAAAUUAAGAACAAGAAUAAAUUAAAAAAGAAAGAAAAACACGAAAAUGUAAAUUAAUUUAUGGAAAAUAAAUUAAAUUAGGAAAAAAUAUUUAUAAGAUUUGAUUAAAAAAGGGAAAUAAAAAACGCAUACAAAAAGGAAGAAAUGAAAAUAAAAAUUAAAAAUUG
This 204-nucleotide long non-coding RNA is filed under the name Olea europaea (common olive). RNAcentral describes it as "long non-coding RNA (OEUR_LNC001197)". Lineage: Eukaryota; Viridiplantae; Streptophyta; Magnoliopsida; Lamiales; Oleaceae. The record is from RNAcentral.